UCAUCUUCGGGGGUAGAGCACUGUUUCGGCUAGGGGGUCAUCCCGACUUACCAACCCGAUGCAAACUACGAAUACCGAAGAAUGUUAUCACGGGAGACACACGGCGGGUGCUAACGUCCGUCGUGAAGAGGGAAACAACCCAGACCGCCAGCUAAGGUCCCAAAGUCAUGGUUAAGUGGGAAACGAUGUGGGAAGGCCCAGACAGCCAGGAUGUUGGCUUAGAAGCAGCCAUCAUUUAAAGAAAGCGUAAUAGCUCACUGGUCGAGUCGGCCUGCGCGGAAGAUGUAACGGGGCUAAACCAUGCACCGAAGCUGCGGCAGCGACGCUUAUGCGUUGUUGGGUAGGGGAGCGUUCUGUAAGCCGUUGAAGGUGGCCUGUGAGGGUUGCUGGAGGUAUCAGAAGUGCGAAUGCUGACAUAAGUAACGAUAAUGCGGGUGAAAAACCCGCACGCCGGAAGACCAAGGGUUCCUGUCCAACGUUAAUCGGGGCAGGGUGAGUCGACCCCUAAGGCGAGGCCGAAAGGCGUAGUCGAUGGGAAACAGGUUAAUAUUCCUGUACUUGGUGUUGCUGCGAAGGGGGGACGGAGAAGGCUAUGUUGGCCGGGCGACGGUUGUCCCGGUUUAAGCAUGUAGGCGGAUGUUCCAGGUAAAUCCGGAACGUUAUUAACGCUGAGGUGUGAUGACGAGGCACUACGGUGCUGAAGUGACAAAUGCCCUGCUUCCAGGAAAAGCCUCUAAGCAUCAGGUAACAUCAAAUCGUACCCCAAACCGACACAGGUGGUCAGGUAGAGAAUACCAAGGCGCUUGAGAGAACUCGGGUGAAGGAACUAGGCAAAAUGGUGCCGUAACUUCGGGAGAAGGCACGCUGAUGGUAGGUGAAGUGACUUGCUCGUGGAGCUGAAAUCAGUCGAAGAUACCAGCUGGCUGCAACUGUUUAUUAAAAACACAGCACUGUGCAAACACGAAAGUGGACGUAUACGGUGUGACGCCUGCCCGGUGCCGGAAGGUUAAUUGAUGGGGUUAUCCUCGCGGAGAAGCUCUUGAUCGAAGCCCCGGUAAACGGCGGCCGUAACUAUAACGGUCCUAAGGUAGCGAAAUUCCUUGUCGGGUAAGUUCCGACCUGCACGAAUGGCGUAAUGAUGGCCAGGCUGUCUCCACCCGAGACUCAGUGAAAUUGAACUCGCUGUGAAGAUGCAGUGUACCCGCGGCAAGACGGAAAGACCCCGUGAACCUUUACUAUAGCUUGACACUGAACACUGGUCCUUGAUGUGUAGGAUAGGUGGGAGGCUUUGAAGUGUGGACGCCAGUCUGCAUGGAGCCGUCCUUGAAAUACCACCCUUUAAUGGCUGGUGUUCUAACGUGGGCCCGUAAUCCGGGUUGCGGACAGUGUCUGGUGGGUAGUUUGACUGGGGCGGUCUCCUCCUAAAGAGUAACGGAGGAGCACGAAGGUCAGCUAAUCCUGGUCGGACAUCAGGAGGUUAGUGCAAUGGCAUAAGCUGGCUUGACUGCGAGCGUGACGGCGCGAGCAGGUGCGAAAGCAGGUCAUAGUGAUCCGGUGGUUCUGAAUGGAAGGGCCAUCGCUCAACGGAUAAAAGGUACUCCGGGGAUAACAGGCUGAUACCGCCCAAGAGUUCAUAUCGACGGCGGUGUUUGGCACCUCGAUGUCGGCUCAUCACAUCCUGGGGCUGAAGUAGGUCCCAAGGGUAUGGCUGUUCGCCAUUUAAAGUGGUACGCGAGCUGGGUUUAGAACGUCGUGAGACAGUUCGGUCCCUAUCUGCCGUGGGCGCUGGAGAAUUGAGGGGGGCUGCUCCUAGUACGAGAGGACCGGAGUGGACGCAUCACUGGUGUUCGGGUUGUCAUGCCAAUGGCAUUGCCCGGUAGCUAAAUGCGGAAGAGAUAAGUGCUGAAAGCAUCUAAGCACGAAACUUGCCCCGAGAUGAGUUCUCCCUGACCCUUUAAGGGUCCUGAAGGAACGUUGAAGACGACGACGUUGAUAGGCCGGGUGUGUAAGCGCAGCGAUGCGUUGAGCUAACCGGUACUAAUGAACCGUGAGGCUUAACCUU
Molecule: ribosomal RNA, 2062 nt
Filed under: Klebsiella oxytoca 10-5243
Lineage: Bacteria; Pseudomonadati; Pseudomonadota; Gammaproteobacteria; Enterobacterales; Enterobacteriaceae
Description: bacterial LSU rRNA
Rfam family: Bacterial large subunit ribosomal RNA
Source: RNAcentral